GUAGAGAAUACAAUCCAAUUUACUUUUGAAUAUCAUUAUUCAUAUGAAAAGAGCUCAGAUUACUUCCCAGGAAAUCAUAGGCCACAUAUGCAAAUUGCUUGCCCAUGUAGAUGCCAUUCUAGGUGACUCACAAGCAGUAUCCAUGGAGGUGGGCAUGGAGUUCACGGUUGUACGGCUUGCAACACUACUCUACCGAAGACAGCAUCAUCUCAGACCUGCUGGUCCAUGCAGCCUCCAUCUGUCUGCUCGGAGAAGAGACUGCUCCCAUCGAACAGGAGGUCCUGGAUGGAGGACUGCAUCUCCUGGGACAGACCUGCGGCUUGAAGCCAGGAAAUGCACCUUAUUACCAUGGCGGAGGUGCCGAACCUGGCUGCCGAAUCGGCCGCAUCCCAGGCCAUCUGGAGGGAGGUCCUUACCACUGUGGUACCAUCCUCCAAGAUGGCCGUGAACUCUUGGGCCAAGUCGUGGAGUAGCGAGUCUUUAAACUUUUUGAGGA
Long non-coding RNA from Mauremys reevesii (Reeves's turtle), 496 nucleotides. RefSeq lists it as uncharacterized. The transcript is spliced from 3 exons. The record is from RefSeq and is a predicted model, not a curated record. Lineage: Eukaryota; Metazoa; Chordata; Testudines; Geoemydidae.